GAUGAACGCUGGCUACAGGCUUAACACAUGCAAGUCGUGGGGAAACGGCAUUAUGUGCUUGCACAUUCUGGACGUCGACCGGCGCACGGGUGAGUAUCGCGUAUCCAACCUGCCCCUUACUUGGGGAUACCCCGUUGAAAGACGGCCUAAUACCCGAUGUGUUUCAUUGACGGCAUCCGAUAUGAAACAAAGGUUUUUCCGGUAAGGGAUGGGGAUGCGUCUGAUUAGCUAGUUGGCGGGGCAACGGCCCACCAAGGCGACGAUCAGUAGGGGUUCUGAGAGGAAGGUCCCCCACAUUGGAACUGAGACACGGUCCAAACUCCUACGGGAGGCAGCAGUGAGGAAUAUUGGUCAAUGGACGCAAGUCUGAACCAGCCAAGUAGCGUGCAGGAUGACGGCCCUAUGGGUUGUAAACUGCUUUUAUGUGGGAAUAAAGUGGUGCACGUGUGCGCCAUUGCAUGUAC
RNAcentral lists this ribosomal RNA (464 nucleotides) under Prevotella nigrescens. RNAcentral's name for it is "bacterial SSU rRNA". It matches the Rfam family "Bacterial small subunit ribosomal RNA", at positions 28 to 478 of the family's 1533-position model. Lineage: Bacteria; Pseudomonadati; Bacteroidota; Bacteroidia; Bacteroidales; Prevotellaceae. The record is from RNAcentral.